Cricetulus griseus (Chinese hamster) is the source of this 452-nucleotide non-coding RNA. Lineage: Eukaryota; Metazoa; Chordata; Mammalia; Rodentia; Cricetidae. The record is from RefSeq and is a predicted model, not a curated record.
ACGUGCUGGGGCCCGCAUUCUGCCAAAGGCCCCUUCUGCUGGCAUCUCUGCUCAGGAGAGGCGCCGCCUGGUCUUGUCUGGACCCCGAGCGCACUGCGCUUGGCCACCGAGGCGCACCAGCUGUGCGCCCCCCCAACCCCACAGCUCGCUUAUCACGGGCGCUCCAGGUGCCCCACUCGCAAGCGACAGCGGAGGCCACGAGUCCCCCACACCCCAGGGGCGGAGCGAGGCGCAGAGACGUCAGGGCGGGGACCUAGCGCGGCCGAGCGCGCUCUCCCGGAGGCUGCCGGCAGCCCACGUCCCCGGCUGGCGCGGCCGGUGGUGGCGGCGGCGGUAGAGACCGGGAUCUAGCAGUUCGCAGCGGCGCUGGGGCGCAGCCAGGCGGCCGCGCCGGCGGAGACCGAGGAUGGCAGAGGCGGAAUUGCACAAGGAGAGGCUGCAAGCCAUAGCAG